This 781-nucleotide non-coding RNA is filed under the name Cucujus clavipes (red flat bark beetle). The record is from RNAcentral. Lineage: Eukaryota; Metazoa; Arthropoda; Insecta; Coleoptera; Cucujidae.
UAAAAGUUUUAUUCUAGCUUAGAAAUUAAGUUUAAUUAUGAUUUAUAUGUAAAUAUACGUGGGAUGGAAUUAAAUUUUAAAUAGAUUUAAGUGAUAUUUUAUACGCAGUAAAUAGAUUUGAAUAAUUAAGGAAAUUUAGAUUUAGUAAUAAUUAAAAAUAUUAACAAAUAUUGUGCCAGCAGUUGCGGUUAUACAAAUAAUGUAAUUUAAUUUUUUUAGUAAAAAUUAAUUUUAAUAUAAGUUUAAUUUUAUAAUUAAGUUUUUUAGGUGAAAUUUUAAAUUUAAUUAAAAAUUUAUUAGAUUUGAUGAAGUUAAGAAAUUUAAUUUAUAGACUAGGAUUAGAUACCCUAUUAUUUUAAAUGUAAAUUUAUUUCUGGAUUAGUAUUAGUUAUGUUCUUGAAAAUUAAAGAUUUUGGCGGUAUUUUAGUCUGUUCAGAGGAACCUGUUCUGUAAUCGAUAAUCCACGAUUAAAUUUACUUAUUUUUGUAGUUUGUAUAUCGUUGUAGUUUGAAUAUUUUAUAAGAAAACAAUAUUCAAAAUUUUUUUAGAAAAAAAUAUCAAAUCAAGGUGCAGUUUAUAGAUAAGGAGUAAUGGGUUACAAUAAAUAUAUUUAAAUGGAUUAUGAAUUUAAAAUUUGAAUGAAAGUGGAUUUGAAAGUAAUUUUAUUUAUUUAAUUAAAAUGAUUUUAGCUCUAAAAUAUGUACAUAUUGCCCGUCGCUUUCAUUAUAAAAUGAAAUAAGUCGUAACAAAGUAGGUUUACUGGAAGGUGAAGCUGGAAAGG